UCGACUUUCUGUUGCAGAAAGUGAAAGUGCGGGUGGUUACAAACGUACUGAAACAGUUGGAUAAACGUCUGCCUUCUCGAGACUCGCAGCAGCCGCAGGUGGAGAGGCGGUGCAGUCCAAUAAGUGCAGUAUCCAGUAGGGCGAACGGUCUUGGGGGUAGUUUUGAACAGUACCACUGAUACAAUCACGCCUCGUGUGCUUUCAGGGGGCACUUUGAGGCCUGUUAUGCGCUCUGAAAAGCGCAUUACCACACCGCCUUGGUCUCCGAGAUUUCAACAAACGGGUCGCGCUGACUCGAAAAUGGCUCCAUCUGAUGGUUAGUUUAGCUCGAUUUCUGGUGGAAGGUGGUCUACUUCCCAGACAUCUUGCGGAUCAUGUAGUUCAGGUCAGGAUGCCCCCGUUGAGGCCGGAUACACGUCUUCAAACCUUGUCCCUAUACAAAAAGUACUGUGGGUCCUGUUGGCAUCCAGGUCAAAGGCUGAGACCUCACUCGGACUGCUUAAUAACGCUCUGGGAGCCAAGACACACAAAUCUAUCUAGACAGUCACAGACCUUAUGAGUCCAAGAAGCAAAAUUGUUCAGUAUUUCUCUGUUGUAGCGAUUGUGCAAACUUACAGUGGGUUAUUCACAUUGUACACAGCAUGAAAAGUAACACAUGACAACUCUAGCUAUUAUAAAAACACUUCGUACACACACACACACACACACACACACACACACACACACACACACACACACACACACACACACACACACACACACACACACACACUACUCCUACUGCCACUGCGGCAAAUUAACACGCUAAUAAAGUUUUACAAUCUGUGUAAAAGUGUGACUGUAAAAAAAAGAAAAAAGAAAAAGCUAUGAGGUCAUGAAGGCCGGCUGGGUCGUGGACUCCUAUUAGCAGUAGACGUCUGUCUACCGGGGGUCCCUGUUGAAUGUACGGGGGGCUCCAGUGGGUCUCUGCUGGUGGGUUCUGCCUUCAGAAGUCGGACGACUUUGUUGUAGCACAGCUGAUGGGAGGGGGAUGGCGGCCGGUCACGUUUCAGUUCCAUACCAGUCAUUCUCAGGCUCACUCCCCUCUUUCAACACUUUCUCUCAUCCCCUGUAACCCCCUCCCCCUGCCCACAUAAACGCAGAUGUACAUUUGACCUUAUAUAAUAUCAAUAAAGCAGCAGCAAUCUGGAUAUUA
Gadus morhua (Atlantic cod) is the source of this 1195-nucleotide long non-coding RNA. RefSeq lists it as uncharacterized. The record is from RefSeq and is a predicted model, not a curated record. The transcript is spliced from 2 exons. NCBI's taxonomy places the organism in Eukaryota, Metazoa, Chordata, Actinopteri, Gadiformes, Gadidae.